This 442-nucleotide ribosomal RNA is filed under the name uncultured bacterium. RNAcentral's name for it is "partial 16S ribosomal RNA". It matches the Rfam family "Bacterial small subunit ribosomal RNA", at positions 338 to 795 of the family's 1533-position model. The record is from RNAcentral.
CCUACGGGAGGCUGCAGUGGGGGAUAUUGCACAAUGGGGGAAACCCUGAUGCAGCGACGCCGCGUGGGCGAAGAAGUAUUUCGGUAUGUAAAGCCCUAUCAGCAGGGAAGAAGAAAUGACGGUACCUGAGUAAGAAGCACCGGCUAAAUACGUGCCAGCAGCCGCGGUAAUACGUAGGGGGCAAGCGUUAUCCGGAUUUACUGGGUGUAAAGGGAGCGUAGACGGCAGUGCAAGUCUGGAGUGAAAGGCGGGGGCUCAACCCCCGGACUGCUCUGGAAACUGUACGGCUGGAGUGGAGGAGAGGUAAGUGGAAUUCCUAGUGUAGCGGUGAAAUGCGUAGAUAUUAGGAGGAACACCAGUGGCGAAGGCGGCUUACUGGACUGUAACUGACGUUGAGGCUCGAAAGCGUGGGGAGCAAACAGGAUUAGAUACCCUAGUAGUC